UCCCUGGUGGCUUAGACGGUAAAAGAGUCUGCCUGCAACGUGGGAGACCCAGGUUCGAGCCCUGGGUUGGGAA
RNAcentral lists this transfer RNA (73 nucleotides) under Bos taurus (domestic cattle). It matches the Rfam family "tRNA". Rfam says of the family: Transfer RNA (tRNA) molecules are approximately 80 nucleotides in length. Their secondary structure includes four short double-helical elements and three loops (D, anti-codon, and T loops). RNAcentral also lists the same sequence under 4 other names. The record is from Rfam by way of RNAcentral. Lineage: Eukaryota; Metazoa; Chordata; Mammalia; Artiodactyla; Bovidae.